Octopus sinensis (East Asian common octopus) is the source of this 167-nucleotide long non-coding RNA. RefSeq lists it as uncharacterized. NCBI's taxonomy places the organism in Eukaryota, Metazoa, Mollusca, Cephalopoda, Octopoda, Octopodidae. The transcript is spliced from 4 exons. The record is from RefSeq and is a predicted model, not a curated record.
CUCAACAGAAAUAGGGUAAUGAAAGGGUUUAAAGCACCAUGAUGUGUAUAACCCUUUUGAUAUUAACCCACCUGAAACUGCCUCUGACUCUGUAGUACAAAUGCCUUGUUUUCAUAAGUUUUGAAUUAAAAUCUUCCACCAAAUCUUAGUCACAAUUUACGUUCCUA